UCCCCACACACGAGGCUGUUUGUUUUUGUUGGGUUUGUCAAUGUUGUCUUUGUUCGGGAGAUUGUGUCAUCGCCUAGAUGCCGGGAGUAAAGUGCGACCCUGUGUGUGAUCAAGUGUGUAACGUGUGCGGCUAGGGCUAAGGGCGCCUCUGACCGUCAGUGCCUGUGAGAAGGAGGAACAAGGGAUCGUGGGCCCCCGAGGGGGUUCGCUCUUGUUUCUAGGGCUCCAAAGGGCACUAGUGACCUGUGUGUGUGUGCGCGCGCCAACACGUGUGUACCAUGAGAACAGACUUUGAACAUGGACUGACAAUCUCGGCCUGAAGGGUGACAAACUGAAACCACACAUGUGCAUCUGGCAUGUGUAAAUACGUGUGAUGGCGCGCAAGCGUGAAAGCGUUUGUGAGUAGUAUCACAGCCGCGUGUGGGGAAGCGUGUGAAACUUUGACGAACGUAUGCUAAUGUCUGUGAACAGUGUGUGAAGAGGAGGGGGAAACGUGCACUUGCGAGCCGGGGCUGCGGGUUGAAGGCCCGGAAACGGUGUUUGUGCGCGGCGUCCCAGGCUGGGCGGCGGCUGUGUCUGGCCCAGUUUGGGCUGGGUCUUCCAGUCCGUCGGGCCCCAGUAUCCAACUCGGCCCCCUCCCCCCGAGCCGUGUAAACAAACCCGCUGGAAUUCGCCUCUCGGGGCUCCUCUCUCCGCCGGGGUCUGCUGCCGUCUGGAGCUGGGGAUUGGGGGGUGGGUGUCUGCCUCACAGCUCUCGGGGCGGAGAGGGCGGGCAGGUGUUUGAUUAGGGGUGUGUGUGUGUGUGAGAGAGAGAGAGAGAGAGAGAGAGAGAGAAUCUGGAGCUGGAGGUCCCAAUGCUGUGUGCCUGCGUGCCUUUGGUGGUUCCUGUGUGCGAUUGUGUGACUCUUUGUAUGCCCGCCCAGAGUUGAUUUUGCGAGUCUGUGCACCCCUGGCCAGCCCUUCCACGCGGCUGCGCAAAGCGGGAAGCUGCAGACCCGCCCCCCCCCGCCCCCCCCUCCCCCCCCGCCUCUCCCCGCUCUUCCCCGAGAAGCUCGGGCCCAGCUUCCCUAGUUCCCAAGCUGUUUCAUCCUCUUCUUUUACGGCCAGGCCCGGCCACAACGCCUGCCACUAGGGGAAACAGACAAGCCACCAUUUAUCAACAAACUUGCUAAGUGGAAAAGCCGAGAUUGCAGAGCCACAAUGCGCACUUGUGCUGCCUGGACACUUCGAGAGCCGCUGCGACACCUGGUGGGCUGGGAGGAGAGUUGCAGGCACUGAGCGAUCCAGACCGAGACGGCAGAAAGGACUUUGGCUCGGAGACAGACCUGCAGACCAAGUUAGCCCGGUGCCCUCCCUCGUCGCAGCCCCCAGCCUGCCCAGGCGGGUCUAGUCUUGGUUCUUGCUUUGGGUUGCCUCUCACCACAAAGUCGUGCUUCUGUGUUGGCUCUCAGCACCGCCACCCUCAGGCGAACAUCUGGGCUCAGUGGCGGGAGCUGUCUGAGGUGUCUGUCUGUCUGCCUGCCUGUCUGGGAAAUUCCCCUUAUGAGUCCUUUCUGGGAAUUCCUCAGAGACAAGAUUAACUCUCUGAGUGCCCUGGGGGAGGCCUGGCCUCUGGAGGGAGGUGCUGUCCACCUGUGGGGGCACUGUUGGCCUGGAGGUACCAUUUCCAGUGUGGAACAGGCAGAGCUACUUGAUUGCUACUCCCUUGCUGAGCACCCUGUGGUUUGGGAUAGGGAAGGACCAAACCACAAGGCCCUGGGGCACAGCUAACCUGGCCCAACCUCUAAGAGCAUCACUGGGCAGUGGGGUGAUGGGGAGGGUGCAGGGAAGGUGAUCCUGAGCUUGGAGCAGCCUCUGCCCCACUCCCCACAUCUUUAAAAAAAAACAAAGUGUAUGUUUCCCAUUUUAUUAGUGAUAUGUGUGUGUGUUUUUCAAAAGUUGAAAAAGAGAACAGGAGAAUAAGGGAAGCUACCAGCUACUGUGAAUAUCUUCAACCCUUCCCUGCCAGCCUUUAGUCUGUGAGGUUUUGUUUCUUUGUCUUUAGGAAUUGUGUUAAAUAUGAUUCACUUCUAUUGUGUAAUUCUUUUUCUGCCCUUUAACUUUAUGACAGAGAUAUUUUCAUGUAUAACCUCUUUGUAAACAGUAUUUUUAACCACAGCAUAGUGUUUCUUUGAAUGGUUCAGAGAUUGCAGUUGUAAUGGGGCAGAGUAGAGAUAAACACAUCCCCACAUUCAAGUACUCCUCAGCCACUGAGCAAUUGAGUUGAUUGUUUCCUAGAAAUUGCAAAUAACUCUGAGGUUGACUUUCAUUCAACAAGUUCUUCUGGCACAUCUGCUCUGGACCAGACUCUGAACUGGGGCUGAAUCCUCAGUGGAGGACAGUAGGUGAGGGCCCUCCUCUACUGGAGCUUACAGUUUCAGAUGGUACCUGGGCAUAAGAGUAUCUGGAUUUUGGAGAAUUUCAUGGAUAUGUGUGUGUACUACGUCGCUUCAAUUGUGUCCAACUCUAUACAACCCUGUGGACUGCAGCCUUCCAGGCUCCUCUCUCCAUGGGAUUCUCCAGGAAGAGUAUUGGAGUGGGUUGCUGUGCCCUCCUCCAGGGGACCUUCCCAACCCAGGGAUAGAACUCUUGGGAAAUACUUCUGAUAUUGCCAAACCAAACCAGAUUCUUUUGGCUACUAGUCUAGUUCUCUUAACUGAGGGCCAGAACCUAAUGGAUCUAUCUCUCCUCCACAUCCAACUCAAAAGGGGGCCAAACUCUGUGGGAGAAGAUGGAAUUCUCCCCUCCGGAGUCCCCUGCAGGGAAAAGGAGAUUGGGCAGGAUGGGGAGUGGGAGGGAGAUGGGAAGAGCAGUGUUAAGGAAGGUAGGACCAUAAUUUCUACCUAGAAAGCAACAGGAAGUUUUUUUUAAAUGCUGCCUCUUCCACCAAAAAUUAAUUAGUCACUUACAUCAACUUCUGUACUGGGAAGUCCUGGGGGCUCUGAAACAUAUCUUUGUCCUAAAGGAAUCUAAUCUACUUGCAGAUAUAUACUGAGAAUAUAAAGUAAGGAUUAUAGUCGAGGUAUAAGUGGAACAACAGGCCGUGGGAUCACAGAGGAGGAUGUUUCUUUGGGGUCAGGAGUGCUUCACAAGGAAGGGGAUAUAUAUGUUUUUUCCUCUGCCUGCCUUUGAGUCUUUGCCAACCUGGCUGAUUCCAGAGGAGAUAUUUGAAAUGGGUUUUGAAAGAUAAGUAGGCAUUCACAUUCAGGGAUAAGGGAACAAGAAGCACAAGUAGAGAGGUGAGAGUUGUGCAGUGAAUACUCAGGUAUAGCUAAAAUUACAGAACGGGUCUGGGGCAGUGUGGCAGGAGAUGGAAGCAGAAAGUGGUUUGGGGCCGUGCUGCCAAGGGCCUUAAAUGCCAUGCCCAGGAUCGUGAGCAUUAUUCUGUAGUCCAUAGAUGCUCAAGUAGGAAACAUAAUCAGAUUUGUGUUUUAGGAAAAUCACUGCUGAUACCAGACUGUGGGUAGAAGAGGAAGCUCAGAGGCCGGGGUGCUGGUUAGGCCCGAGCCGCGGGAGUUCCGGUGGGAUCGAGGAGGGGCAGAGAGGAGAGCAGAGGGCAGACUAGACGGAGUUGGAGGAGCCACGGGCAGGAGACAGGGAGGAGUCUGGGAUGGCUGGUGGGUGGAAGUGCCGCUGACAUGCAGGACAUGGAGGCCAGGGCCAGACCCGGGAGGGACAAAUGAAGAGGAAUGUUUUGGACAUUGUAUCUUUAGGAGUGAUUUCGGCUGCAUAACGGAAUGCCCAACUUCUAGUGGUUUAAACAAGAGGUUUUGGGACCUCUCUGCAGGUCCAGUCAUUAGAAUUUGGCGCUUUCACUGCCAUGGCCCAGAUUUGUUCUCUGAUCCGGAAACUAAGAUUUCACAAGCUGCAUGGCGUGGCCAAAAAUAAUAAUAAAAAGAUGGUUUAUGUUCCCCCCACACCAAAGUCUUCUGAUGUGGGUCAGCAACUCAACAGUGUCGUCAAAGACGCAGUGCUCUCUGCCUCUCUGCUCGGCUGUCCUCAUGACUCUGGUUACUGGAUGACUAUAUUAGAGCUACAUUCGAGCUACAGGAGCCACAGGAUGAGGGGGUGGGAGCAAGAGAGUUUCUCUUCCUAAGGAGCUCUUUUUAUCUGAUAAGAAAAUCGAGCAGCUUUCUAGACAAUUUACUCUCAGGGGACAGAGCUGUGUCCAUGGCUACACCAGCAUCUGUGAAGGAGAAGCGACUGUUCUGAAGGGCUGGGGCUGAGCCUGGGGCCCCCUCCCCCAAAUAGAAUCUGCUCUGUUCCCCGAAGAAACAGGGGUCUUGUUAGCCUGGGAGCAGGGAUGAGCACUCAACAGUGCUCAUGUUGCAUUUGAGGGGUCAGUGGAAUUUCCAGGUGGAGGUGUCUAAGGGCAGCAGUGGGGGAUGGGAGCCAGGAAUCCUUGCCCUGUGAUCCUAACUGGAAAGAAAUUCUUCCCUCCCAGCUACUCAGCCUGGGUUUUCCGGGGUAGAAAAGCCAGGUGAGGGUGGGCAGGAAGACAUUUACCCCCAAUGCAGCUGAUGAUAAACCUCAUUUCUACUCCUCUGCCUGCCUAUACCUCCCUUCUCCCCAAUCUUUCACUAUAGCAUAGUGUAAAAGCAGGAGUUUAGACACUUUUAUUUCAGAGGUAUUACUUUUCUCUUUCCCAGACGUAUUAUUUUUAUGUAACUUUUUUUUUCUAAUUAUGGAAGAAAUACAUGAUCAAUGCAGAAAACUUGGAGAAGCACAAAUGAAAAACAAAAUCACUCAUAGAAGUUAAGUCUUAGGAGCAAGCACACUUCACAGUUCUUUCCCCCAUGGCUCUGGAAAUUUUUAUGGUAAAUAUCUUGGAGAGGUUAUAGUUUAAUGCCCGUGUGACGGCCAGCUCGGAACCCCUUACGUUUGUGUAACAUUUUACGAUCUUCCAGUGUUUUCAGCUGUAUAUUUUAUCACGUACUAUUCCACCUUUAUAGACUCCUACACAUUUUGAGGUGGGCAUAGGCCAUCACUGACUAGUUGAGGAAACUGAGGCUCGAAAAGAUGAUGGUAUUCAGCAUCCAGAGGGCAGGGGUAGCCUCAGUAGGGCUGGGUUCACACCACCUUAUUCCUUCCCCACACCUCACUGUCCAACUGUCCUGGGUAUAAAGGAAAAGCCCUAGGCCCAAAGUGCUGAAUUUGCUGUGGGCAAAUGGAGGGGAGUAUGUAUGGAGAAGGGAAAGGAAGAGGGUGGAGAAGGGCAGCUCCUUCCCUCCCCAGAGCCCUUGGGAGAGACCGGGGAGAGGGAGGUGAGAGGGGAGGGGCCCGGGUCAGGCUGAAGGGAUCAGUCUUCCAGGGCUGCAGCCUGCCCUGGCCUGUCCCUGCAGGCAGUAGAUGUCCAGAUAAUGGCUCACUUUUUACUUCACCAAACAUUUUUUGAGGUCAGGUGUUUGUUUAUCAGGUACUCUGUUGGGCACUGCAGGGGCUUCCGAGGUAGCUCAGUGGUAAAGAACUCGCCUGCCAAUGCAGGAGACAGAAGAUGUGGGUUUGAUCUCUCAGUCGGGAAGAUCCCCUGGAGAAGGGAAUGGCAACCCACUCCAGUAUUCUUGCCUGGAGAAUCCCAUGGACAGAGGAGCCUGGCGGGCUACAGUCCAUGGGGUGGCAAAGAGUCAGACAUGACUGAGUGACUAAGCAGUGAGGUACUGCAGGGAAAGCUGGAUGAGGCAACCUGUGAGCAGGAGAGCAGUGCCCUCGAGAGCUGGGUCUGAGUCCUAGCUGUGAAAACCUGGAAAAGAUGUUUGAUGACACAGAGCCUCCAUUGUUUUCAUCUGUAAAAUGGGGGCAGGACUGCUUUUUUUCCCUGGAAUUAUCAUUUGGAUCAAAGGAAAUAACAGCUGUGAGGGGCCUGGUGGGGACCAGACUGUCAGUAAGGACUGGUGUGUGUUUUUCUUUACCUGGGCUGACUGGGGAGAAAUGUGCUGUGAAGAGAUGGGGGUGAAGAGCAGGAGCCUUCAGGAUCCAGGAAAGGCAAGGGGGGAGGAGUCUUAGGAACACAAAUAUUUGUUCUGCCAGGCAGUACUUGAUAAAUGCCCGAGGGACACAGCAGCCAAGAGCUCUGAGGUGCAGGGGGGCAGAGGUGAAUGGGGGAAAAAAUCCUUUUGAGGGUUCCCCAGGUAGAGAUGGUGGGCAAGGGCAUUCCAUGCCCAGGGAGACAGUACAGGCCUCUCUCCCCUGAUCUGCAGGGGCAAGGGGAAGGAGACGGGGAGAGAAUCUGUCCCCUUCCAUGUUCUUUAUUGUUCCCCCGGCUCCAUCUUGUCCCCUCCUUCACCCUCUUCAUCCGCUGACUGUGGGUCAGUCACUGCUGAGUCCUAGGGAUCCUGAGCUGGGUCUUAAAGAGGUGUAGGGAUUGAUGGGGGAAAGGCACGCGGCAUGGGAGGGUGACAGAACUCGGGGCUGGGCACAGGGAAGGCGGCUGGGACCACGCGGAGAGGAGGGGCCGGAGUGGGCACAUCGCGGGAAUAUAGGCGGAAAGUGGUAAAUACCUCAGGGUGUGCUUCUGGUGCCCUCUGACCCAGUGCUGUGUGACUGAAGAAAGAGCUCCUCACGUGGGUGUGAGUCCCCGUGUUGGGAGGACUCUGGACAGACAUCCUGGAGGAGGGCCUGUGGUGGUGUGGCUCACAGGGAAACUGCUUUUAACUGGACUAAGGACAGUCCAGACUGGGCUGGAGCAGGCGAACCCAGUAUGGCCUCAGAGACAAGCGGAGGGGGUUGUAUUUCCUUGGGGAAAUCCACCCUAGCCUGAGGGAAGGCAGAGAGAGAGGGGAGGUUUGGAGACCUGAGAGUGGAUAGUGGGCAGGUUGCCCUGGGAAGAAUAACAUCAGCUCGCGUUUAUGAACAUGUUUUCCAUCCCAGGCUCAUUGGAAGCACUUUGCAUACAUUAAACCCUUACACCUCACAAUCAUCAUAAGAGAUCAGGAGUAUUAUCAUCCCUUCAUUUUACAAAUGAGCGAAGUGAAAGCGCAGAGAAGUUCCUAAGUUCCCCAGGUCACACAGCUAGUGAGUGGUGAAGCCGGAAUCUGAAACAAGGCAGUCAGGCCGGUCGGUCCCGAUUUAACCACUGCACCAAACUGUCCUGCUGUUUCUAGAGAGAGGCCACUAGUGAGCCCGCUGGGGGCACAGAGAGAGGCAAGACCACUCUGGAAAUUAGCUCUGCACGACAUCGCGGCUGUUUGGAGGUGGCAGAAAGACAGAGUUAUUAGUUCAGCAUGUGGAGCCCAGGUGGGAGGCAGGGCCAUGAAAGCCUCCAGAUAAAAUCCUUGCUCUCCCAGUCUUUUCUGUUAGAGCUCGGUCAAUGAGGUGCUUCAACCCAGGCCUCUUGUUAUGUAUAAAGGAAGGACCCAGAGAUGUGAGGAGUUAGAAUUCAUUUUUUCUUAGACCCUUCCUUUGAUCCUGGCUGUAGUUCUCUACGUUGGGCUGCCCCAUGUACUUUGAUCCCUGCCAUCUCCCAAGGUAGGUUCCCAGCCUUUCCGUCCAUUGUGUGAACUACUGGAAUUCCUUCAAUAAAUCAUUUUUUCUGCUUUAAGUACAGUCAGUGUCUGCCACUGGCAAGCCAGAACCGGGAUGGGUACAGAGCGAGUUGCUGAUGAUAACAGGGUCUAAAGCCUGGGAGACUAGAAGGGUCAUUUGCUGUUGUGUGCUUUGGGGGACGUUCUGUUUCAGGAGGUUAAGUUUAAAGUGCUUGGAAAAGCCUGGAGAAUGGAUUGAGAAGAAGUUUCUUACUAGGGACUGAGCCUGAAGACAGUGCUUUGAGCUAGAAAUGUGGUGAUGAAGCAGAGGAUUAGGGUCUGAAGCCCUGGAAUUGAUGUGAGAGAGUGGAGAGCUGACUUGAACAGUGCCUGCAGGGAGCCAGGCAGGAAUCAUGCAAGAGUAAGGGAGCCCAGGUUUAUUUGUCAGGAAGGCCAAAUGCAGGCUUCAGGCGAGCAUCCCAUCGCUGUAGUCAUCCCCGAAGAAGGAGAACAUCUUUAAUGUUUCAGUAAGAGCCCAAGGAGAACUCGCAUUGUCUUCAUUGGGUCACAUUCCCAUCCCCAGACCAAUCCCUGUGGCUGGGGGCUAUGUGCUGCUGCAGGCUGGGACAGGCUCAAGACACUGGCUGGCUAACAGACCUGGGAGGUGGACUGAGGAUGAAGCGCGGGGUCCCACAGGAAAACUGGGCUUCUGUUCCCAGAAGGGAAAAUGGAAGCUGGGCAAGCACACAAGCAGAUGUCCUCAAGAGGAGCUUGGUAGCUUGAGAGGUUUUCAGAAUGGAGGGAAGGAUCUUUUUUGGAUGAAGAAAUCUGGGCCCGGCUAUAGAUAAAAAGAAGAAAACUAUUGGAGAGGGCCUGGAAAUACAUUGUGGAAACUGAAGAAGCAGGCUCCAGGAAGGAUGUGUGGGGAUGGGGUUCAGGAGGGAGGGUAGGAGUUCAUCUUGGCCAAGGGAGGAACAGCUGUUUGUGAGUGGAGGCAGGUAGGGAGAUGACGGUGAGAAGAGGCUGAGAGGUAUUGGAAGGAAGUUGUGAGAUCCUGUUCCCAGGCUUUACCCAGGCUAAGAGCUUGGGCUUUGGAGGCUGAUUAUAGAGAUUCAAAUUCUAACUCUGUCACUUAGUAGGAUGUGACCCUGGUGCCUCAGUUUCCUCUUUUAAUUCAAUGAGGAUGAUAAUAACAGGGCCCACCCACAGGAUCACGGAGAGGAUUAAAUGAGAUAAUGUAUGCAAAGUACUUAGAAAAGCUGGUGUGUCUGGCAUAUGGAAAAACCUCAGGAUUAGCUAUUAUGAUGGUAAUUAUUAUGAUUUCUAUUACAGAGGGCUCACAGUGACAGUAAUGAAUUCCAGCACAACUGGGUCGGGCUCCUACCUGCUGACACUGGACCUCCAGCCCCCUGCCAAGUCCCCCUCAAAUAUUGCUGAUGGUCCCCACAGGCCGUUGCACGUGGGCUCAUCAUCGUGUCUGUGCACGCUGCGCGGCAGAUGUUCUGCUGGGUGCAGGGUUUUUCUGCUGGUGGGGUGUGGGGCAGCAGGCAUCUCCCUCUCCUCUCCAGAGUCACCUCCGUCAGGGGAUCGGGAAGGUCCCUGAGAAAGGCCGCUGGCGUCUCCACGUGAUGUUUGAUCAACAAGAUCUUUGCCUUGAAGAGCUAGUAUUCUGUUGGGGUGCAAUCAGGACCCAGCUUGUACAUACAGUUACCCAGCAGAUUUUUUUGUGCCUCAUGCUGAAGUAUGAAUGGAUAUCCAAGGAUCAGCAGGCAUUUGAGGAGGGACCCAGUGGGAAAUAGAGAUAAAGCACAUGUUGUUGUUCAGCUGCUCAGUCGUGUCCGACUCUUUGUAACCCCAUGGACUACAGCAUGCCAGGCUUUCCUGUCCUUCACCAUCUCCCAGAGCUUGUUCAAACUCAUGUCCAUUGAGUCGGUG
Long non-coding RNA from Bubalus bubalis (water buffalo), 9434 nucleotides. RefSeq lists it as uncharacterized. NCBI's taxonomy places the organism in Eukaryota, Metazoa, Chordata, Mammalia, Artiodactyla, Bovidae. The record is from RefSeq and is a predicted model, not a curated record. The transcript has 3 exons.